Molecule: ribosomal RNA, 506 nt
Filed under: uncultured bacterium
Lineage: Bacteria
Description: partial 16S ribosomal RNA
Rfam family: Bacterial small subunit ribosomal RNA
Source: RNAcentral
GAUGAACGCUAGCGGGAGGCUUAACACAUGCAAGUCGAGGGGUAACGAGAGGAAAGCUUGCUUUCCUUGUCGACGACCGGCGCGCGGGUGAGUAACGCGUAUCCAACCUGCCCCCAACUAAGGAAUAACCUUGCGAAAGUAAGACUAAUACCUUAUACUUUCCUCAGAUGACAUCUGACGAGGAAUAAAGAUUUAUCGGUUGUGUAUGGGGAUGCGUCUGAGUAGCUUGUUGGCGGGGUAACGGCCCACCAAGGCAACGAUCAGUAGGGGUUCUGAGAGGAAGGUCCCCCACAUUGGAACUGAGACACGGUCCAAACUCCUACGGGAGGCAGCAGUGAGGAAUAUUGGUCAAUGGGCGGAAGCCUGAACCAGCCAAGUAGCGUGCAGGAUGACGGCCCUAUGGGUUGUAAACUGCUUUUAUACAGGAAUAAAGUUAGCCACGUGUGGUUAUUUGUAGGUACUGUAUGAAUAAGGACCGGCUAAUUCCGUGCCAGCCGCCGCAGUAA